GUUGGGUUAGAGGUCCUGUAAGGUGCCUUCCCCUGCUGGCUCCUCAAAGAGGCUGUAUGUGUAGUGCUUACCAUUUUGGCUUCUGGAGCAGCCCAGCUUGGGUUCCAAUCUCAACUCACCAUGACCUCACAAGCCCUCAGGCAAGUUAGGUCACUUCAGAGAAAUGUGGCAAGGAUUAAUGGAGGAGAUACAGUUCCUGGCACAGUGCCUGACACAUAUUUCUGCUAGAAUUUUGGUCCGCGAGAAAGCACUGGCAUGGGCCGACACAAGGAGUCAGUGCUUAAAGCUGCACUCCUCUCGAACUUCUUGUUGGGGGAAACAAAGAAUAGUCCUUUGGCCUCCACUCACCUGGAACAGAUCAAAUGACAUCACAAUUCCAUCCCUCCAUCGCAAUGCAGCAGGUUAUCCUGAAAAUAAAAGACAUCCAAACUCA
Molecule: long non-coding RNA, 433 nt
Organism: Leopardus geoffroyi (Geoffroy's cat)
Lineage: Eukaryota; Metazoa; Chordata; Mammalia; Carnivora; Felidae
Exons: 3
Source: RefSeq, a predicted model, not a curated record